Molecule: ribosomal RNA, 505 nt
Filed under: uncultured bacterium
Lineage: Bacteria
Description: partial 16S ribosomal RNA
Rfam family: Bacterial small subunit ribosomal RNA
Source: RNAcentral
GACGAACGCUGGCGGCGUGCCUAAUACAUGCAAGUAGAACGCACAGUUUAUACCGUAGCUUGCUACACCAUAGACUGUGAGUUGCGAACGGGUGAGUAACGCGUAGGUAACCUGCCUGGUAGCGGGGGAUAACUAUUGGAAACGAUAGCUAAUACCGCAUAAUAUUCAUUAUUGCAUGAUAAUUAAUUGAACGGUGCAAUUGCACCACUACCAGAUGGACCUGCGUUGUAUUAGCUAGUAGGUGAGGUAACGGCUCACCUAGGCGACGAUACAUAGCCGACCUGAGGGGGUGAUCGGCCACACUGGGACUGAGACACGGCCCAGACUCCUACGGGAGGCAGCAGUAGGGAAUCUUCGGCAAUGGACGGAAGUCUGACCGAGCAACGCCGCGGGAGUGAAGAAGGGUUUCGGAUCGUAAAGCUCUGUUGUAAGAGAAGAACGGGUGUGAGAGUGGAAAGUUCACACUGUGACGGUAUCUGACCAGAAAGGGACGGCUAACUACGUG